AGCAGUUCUCAGGUGACAUACCCUGGAAUCGGGCUCCCUCCUCUCUGGUUCCGGGUGUGUCACCUGAGAACUGCA
Molecule: non-coding RNA, 75 nt
Organism: Myotis brandtii (Brandt's bat)
Lineage: Eukaryota; Metazoa; Chordata; Mammalia; Chiroptera; Vespertilionidae
Source: Rfam